RNAcentral lists this ribosomal RNA (160 nucleotides) under uncultured bacterium. RNAcentral describes it as "partial 16S ribosomal RNA". The record is from RNAcentral.
CACGAAGUUAGCCGGUGCUUAUUCUGUCGGUAACGUCAAAACUGCAAGGUAUUAGCCUACAGCCCUUCCUCCCGACUUAAAGUGCUUUACAAUCCGAAGACCUUCUUCACACACGCGGCAUGGCUGGAUCAGGCUUUCGCCCAUUGUCCAAUAUUCCCCA